This 345-nucleotide RNase P RNA is filed under the name Burkholderiales bacterium. Its description in RNAcentral is "RNase P RNA component class A". It matches the Rfam family "Bacterial RNase P class A". Rfam says of the family: Ribonuclease P (RNase P) is a ubiquitous endoribonuclease, found in archaea, bacteria and eukarya as well as chloroplasts and mitochondria. Its best characterised activity is the generation of mature 5'-ends of tRNAs by cleaving the 5'-leader elements of precursor-tRNAs. Lineage: Bacteria; Pseudomonadati; Pseudomonadota; Betaproteobacteria; Burkholderiales. The record is from RNAcentral.
GAAGUCGGCCGGGCAGUCGCUGGUUGUUGGGGUCACCCGCAACGGGAGGAAGGUCCGGGCUCCGCAGAGCAGGGUAGUGGCUAACAGCCAUCCACCGCGAGGUGAGGACCAGGGCCACAGAGACGAGCGUAUUCAGUUACGGUGAAACGCGGCAACCUCUACCCGGAGCAAUACCAAAUAGGCAUGCGCCGUGAGCGAGCAAUCGCUCACCCAAGGCGGCUCGUCGGAGCGUGCGGGUAGGUAGCUUGAGCCCAUCGGCAACGGUGGGCCUAGAGGAAUGACUGCUGCGCCACAACGGGUCACACCGGGUGGCGACAGAACCCGGCCUACAGGCCGACUUCAAUG